UACGUAGGGUGCGAGCGUUAAUCGGAAUUACUGGGCGUAAAGCGUGCGCAGGCGGCUUCGCAAGUCAGACGUGAAAUCCCCGGGCUUAACCUGGGAAUGGCGUUUGAAACUACGGAGCUGGAGUAUGGCAGAGGGGGGUGGAAUUCCACGUGUAGCGGUGAAAUGCGUAGAUAUGUGGAGGAACACCGAUGGCGAAGGCAGCCCCCUGGGCCAAUACUGACGCUCAUGCACGAAAGCGUGGGGAGCAAACAGG
RNAcentral lists this ribosomal RNA (253 nucleotides) under uncultured bacterium. RNAcentral describes it as "partial 16S ribosomal RNA". It matches the Rfam family "Bacterial small subunit ribosomal RNA", at positions 524 to 776 of the family's 1533-position model. The record is from RNAcentral.